GUCCGAGCGGAAACGAUCCUAGCUUGCUAGGAGGCGUCGAGCGGCGGACGGGUGAGUAACGCGUGAGAAUCUGCCCAUUUGUGGGGGAUAACUCGGGGAAACUCGAGCUAAUACCGCAUAAUCCCUACGGGGGAAAGCAGGGGACCUUCGGGCCUUGUGCAGAUGGAUGAGCUCGCGUCGGAUUAGCUUGUUGGUGAGGUAAAGGCUCACCAAGGCGACGAUCCGUAGCUGGUCUGAGAGGAUGAUCAGCCACACCGGGACUGAGACACGGCCCGGACUCCUACGGGAGGCAGCAGUGGGGAAUCUUGGACAAUGGGGGCAACCCUGAUCCAGCCAUGCCGCGUGUGUGAAGAAGGCCUUCGGGUUGUAAAGCACUUUCAGUAGGGAGGAAGGCUUACCGUUAAUAGCGGUGAGUACUUGACGUUACCUACAGAAGAAGCACCGGCUAAUUUCGUGCCAGCAGCCGCGGUAAUACGAAAGGUGCGAGCGUUAAUCGGAAUUACUGGGCGUAAAGCGCGCGUAGGCGGUUUGUUAAGUCAGAUGUGAAAGCCCCGGGCUCAACCUGGGAAUUGCAUUUGAAACUGGCAGGCUAGAAUGCAGUAGAGGGAGGUGGAAUUUCCGGUGUAGCGGUGAAAUGCGUAGAGAUCGGAAGGAACACCAGUGGCGAAGGCGGCCUCCUGGACUGACAUUGACGCUGACGUGCGAAAGCGUGGGGAGCAAACAGGAUUAGAUACCCUGGUAGUCCACGCCGUAAACGAUGUCUACUAGUCGUUGGGAAUCUUAGUAUUCUUGCUGACCAAGUUAACGCGAUAAGUAGACCGCC
RNAcentral lists this ribosomal RNA (823 nucleotides) under Alcanivorax jadensis. RNAcentral's name for it is "bacterial SSU rRNA". It matches the Rfam family "Bacterial small subunit ribosomal RNA", at positions 61 to 873 of the family's 1533-position model. Lineage: Bacteria; Pseudomonadati; Pseudomonadota; Gammaproteobacteria; Oceanospirillales; Alcanivoracaceae. The record is from RNAcentral.